AGUGGCGGACGGGUGAGUAACACGUAAGAAUUUGCCUCUAGGAGGGGGACAACAGCUGGAAACGGCUGCUAAUACCCCAUAUGCUUUCGAGUGAAAUGAAAUUUUUCGCCUAGAGAGAAGCUUGCGGCUGAUUAGCUUGUUGGUAAGGUAAUGGCUUACCAAGGCGACGAUCAGUAUCUGGUUUGAGAGGACGAUCAGACACACUGGAACUGAGACACGGUCCAGACUCCUACGGGAGGCAGCAGUGGGGAAUUUUCCGCAAUGGGCGAAAGCCUGACGGAGCAAUCUCGCGUGAGGGAUGACUGCCUAUGGGUUGUAAACCUCUUUUUUCAGGGAGGAAUCAAUGACGUGUACCUGAAGAAUAAGCAUCGGCUAACUCCGUGCCAGCAGCCGCGGUAAGACGGAGGAUGCAAGUGUUAUCCGGAAUCACUGGGCGUAAAGCGUCUGUAGGUGGUUUACUAAGUCAACUGUUAAAUCUUGAAGCUCAGCUUCAAAAUCGCAGUCGAAACUAGUAGACUAGAGUAUAGUAGGGGUAAAGGGAAUUUCCAGUGGAGCGGUGAAAUGCGUAGAGAUUGGAAAGAACACCGAUGGCGAAGGCACUUUACUGGGCUAUUACUGACACUCAGAGACGAAAGCUAGGGUAGCAAAUGGGAUUAGAUACCCCAGUAGUCCUAGCCGUAAACAAUGGAUACUAGAUGUU
RNAcentral lists this ribosomal RNA (700 nucleotides) under uncultured bacterium. RNAcentral describes it as "bacterial SSU rRNA". It matches the Rfam family "Bacterial small subunit ribosomal RNA", at positions 94 to 824 of the family's 1533-position model. The record is from RNAcentral.